UGGCUGUUGCUAUACAAGCCGCGGUGACAUCAUCAGGGAUGUAGAGAAGCCGGAGCUAGCUGCAGGAGCUAGCUGCAGGUCUCGUCAUAGCUGGAGAUACGAGACCCUCUCCUGUCUGUCUGUCUUAUAACCCAAAACAGACAUGUCUGACUUCACAGAGGACCAGAUCAUGGAGUUCAAGGAGGCCUUCCUUUUGUUUGACCGGACGGGUGAGGGGAAGAUCACCUACAGCCAGUGUGGUGAUGUUAUGCGGGCCCUUGGACAGAACCCUGUCAAUGCUGAGGUGCUCAAAGUCCUGGGAAACCCCAAAUUAGAAGAGAUGAACCACAAGAUGCUGGAUUUUGAACAGUUCCUGCCCAUGCUUCAAGCCAUUGCUAAGAACAAGGACCAGGGCUCCUUUGAGGACAUCGUAGAGGGCCUGCGAGUGUUUGACAAGGAGGGAAAUGGUACAGUGAUGGGAGCAGAGCUGCGUCAUGUCCUCACCACACUAGGUGAAAAAAUGACAGAGGAGGAGGUGGAGACUCUUUUAGCGGGACAUGAAGACGCCAAUGGCUGCAUUAACUAUGAAGUCUUUGUCCAUCACAUCAUGUCCGGCUGACCAGAAGGUUUGAGCAAACCCCUGGAAGCCCUCCGCCCUGUUGAUGAUGUAGAACAGCUCAGAAAGUCACCACUGCACAGGGGCCUCUUUUCAUCCAAGCUUGUCCGGAUGGUGAUGAGCGGUUGAGAAGUUCAGACACACACUUCCAACUUUAAUUUUAUUCCUAAAUAUUUUUGUACUGUCUCUUCUAGCCCUUCCAUCCAUGUCAUCCUACCUUCAACAAGUCUGUAUUUUGUUUAUUUAGACGUCUUCAUUUUAUUUCAAAAGUGCCUUUUCUGUCUAAUGUGAUAAUGUGACGAGACCCUUUCAUCUCUUUUUCCAAACAUUAUUCAGCCUCGCAGGCACAAUCGGCAGUAAUAUUCCCUCGAUGAUUUAACCUUUGUCAUCUUUGUCAAUCAACCCCUUGUCAGUCUUAUCGACCUUUUUUUUUUUUUUUUUUUUUGUUGUUAUAAUAAUAAUAAUGUGACAUGUUACACUUAACAGUAU
Molecule: RNA transcript, 1084 nt
Organism: Xiphias gladius (swordfish)
Lineage: Eukaryota; Metazoa; Chordata; Actinopteri; Istiophoriformes; Xiphiidae
Gene: myl6
Gene name: myosin, light chain 6, alkali, smooth muscle and non-muscle
Exons: 7
Source: RefSeq, a predicted model, not a curated record